CAGAGAGGAAGUAUUAAUCUUGCAGUCUCUAAAAGGCCAUAUUUCUCUCUUUUCCUCACUCUACUUCCCAACAGAAACAGCAUAUCUGUGAGAAAAGUGACAGGCUGAAAAAGAUAUCUCUGAAGAAAAUAAGAAAUUCCCUCUUGCAGUAUCACACUGAUAUCCUCCUGACUUACAAGCGACUUUGGGAUCCUAUUACAGCUCUCUGGACAUAACUUCUGACUGAGUCACACCGCUACCUGGGUUGGAAGAGGAAGGUCAUGCAGGAGCUCUGUUAUGAAAAAGCAGCUGCUGAGGGAAGAGAUAGGGAAGUGAACACAGUCAAACUAUUCUGUAAGUGUCCCCUCUCCUCAUCCAGACUGAUUCACACCAAUAGACUGUUCUGUUAGAAAGGUAGCCAGUCAUGUCUUCACCAGGCAAGGCUUCUUGGUAUAACUGCAGAUGAAUACACGCCAGAGGUAAGAUGACAAAUAUCACCUACACUGGGAAGGAUCUAGAUGGCCGUGUACCACGUAGGAUGCAUGCUUCUUCAUAGCGCGGUAGCUUGAAGAAAGUAUAUGGCAGUGGUCCAGUUAAAUAUCCAUUUUCUAUAGAUAAAUUAAGAGUAAUUUUUAAAAGUGGGGAGGGCUGAAAGAGG
Molecule: long non-coding RNA, 637 nt
Organism: Gallus gallus (chicken)
Lineage: Eukaryota; Metazoa; Chordata; Aves; Galliformes; Phasianidae
Source: Ensembl